AUCCUAGCACCGCAUGCCGGGACCUCCAUGAUCAUUGGGGUGGAGACCCCAGGAGGAGGCCUCGUCAUUGCCAUUGCACUUCGACGGGGUUGAGACUUUCCGCUCUCCCAAACUGGGAAAGAUGGGGCAUGUAGUUUUUGAUAGUGGGGGGUCUGCGUUCGCGCCACGCCUCCC
This is a small nuclear RNA of Galendromus occidentalis (western predatory mite), 174 nucleotides long. RefSeq annotates it as U1 spliceosomal RNA. The transcript has a single exon. Lineage: Eukaryota; Metazoa; Arthropoda; Arachnida; Mesostigmata; Phytoseiidae. The record is from RefSeq and is a predicted model, not a curated record.